This 610-nucleotide ribosomal RNA is filed under the name uncultured bacterium. RNAcentral describes it as "bacterial SSU rRNA". It matches the Rfam family "Bacterial small subunit ribosomal RNA", at positions 38 to 642 of the family's 1533-position model. The record is from RNAcentral.
UACGGGAGGCCUAACCAUGCAAGUCGAGGGGUAACGGAAGUAGCUUGCUACUAGACGACGACCGGCGCACGGGUGAGUAACGCGUAUGUAAUCUGCCUUGUACAGAGGGAUAGCCCAGAGAAAUUUGGAUUAAUACCUCAUAGUAUUACUGAAUCGCAUGAUUUGGUAAUUAAAGCUCCGGCGGUACAAGAUGAACAUGCGUGACAUUAGCUAGUUGGUAAGGUAACGGCUUACCAAGGCUACGAUGUCUAGGGGUUCUGAGAGGAUGAUCCCCCACACUGGUACUGAGACACGGACCAGACUCCUACGGGAGGCAGCAGUGAGGAAUAUUGGUCAAUGGACGCAAGUCUGAACCAGCCAUCCCGCGUGAAGGAUGACUGCCCUAUGGGUUGUAAACUUCUUUUAUAUGCAAAUAAACCUACUUUCGUGAAAGUAGCUGAAGGUAGCAUAUGAAUAAACACCGGCUAACUCCGUGCCAGCAGCCGCGGUAAUACGGAGGGUGUAAGCGUUAUCCGGAUUUAUUGGGUUUAAAGGGUACGUAGGCGGUAAUAUAAGUCAGUGGUGAAAUCCUGCAGCUCAACUGUAAAACUGCCAUUGAAACUGUAUUACU